Molecule: ribosomal RNA, 279 nt
Filed under: uncultured bacterium
Lineage: Bacteria
Description: partial 16S ribosomal RNA
Rfam family: Bacterial small subunit ribosomal RNA
Source: RNAcentral
UGCCAGCAGCCGCGGUAAUGCGGAGGGGGUUAGCGUUGUUCGGAAUUACUGGGCGUAAAGCGCACGUAGGCGGAUUAGUAAGUUAGGGGUGAAAUCCCGGGGCUCAACCCCGGAACUGCCUCUAAUACUGCAAGGCUUGAGUACUGGAGGGGGUGGUGGAAUUCCCGGUGUAGAGGUGAAAUUCGUAGAUAUCGGGAGGAAUACCGGUGGCGAAGGCGACCACCUGGCCAGAUACUGACGCUGAGGUGCGAAAGCGCGGGGAGCAAACAGGAUUAGAUA